GAUUACUGGCUCAGGAUGAACGCUGGCGGCGUGCUUAACACAUGCAAGUCGAACGGAGUAUGUUCGCUGACGGAGGAUUCGUCUGAAGUCUUGAGCAUACUUAGUGGCGGACGGGUGAGUAACGCGUGGGUAACCUGCCGUAUACCGGGGGAUAACACUUAGAAAUAGGUGCUAAUACCGCAUAAGCGCACAGUGAGGCAUCUCACAGUGUGAAAAAACUCCGGUGGUAUACGAUGGACCCGCGUCUGAUUAGAUAGUUGGUGAGGUAACGGCUCACCAAGUCGACGAUCAGUAGCCGGCCUGAGAGGGUGAACGGCCACAUUGGGACUGAGACACGGCCCAAACUCCUACGGGAGGCAGCAGUGGGGAAUAUUGGAUAAUGGGGGAAACCCUGAUCCAGCCGACGCCGCGUGAGUGAAGAAGUAUUUCGGUAUGUAAAGCUCUAUCAGCAGGGAAGAAAAUGACGGUACCUGACUAAGAAGCCCCGGCUAACUACGUGCCAGCAGCAGC
RNAcentral lists this ribosomal RNA (510 nucleotides) under uncultured bacterium. RNAcentral's name for it is "bacterial SSU rRNA". It matches the Rfam family "Bacterial small subunit ribosomal RNA", at positions 15 to 518 of the family's 1533-position model. The record is from RNAcentral.